This 497-nucleotide ribosomal RNA is filed under the name uncultured bacterium. Its description in RNAcentral is "partial 16S ribosomal RNA". It matches the Rfam family "Bacterial small subunit ribosomal RNA", at positions 28 to 507 of the family's 1533-position model. The record is from RNAcentral.
GAUGAACGCUGGCGGCGUGCCUAAUACAUGCAAGUCGAGCGAACAGAUAAGGAGCUUGCUCCUUUGACGUUAGCGGCGGACGGGUGAGUAACACGUGGAUAACCUACCUAUAAGACUGGGAUAACUUCGGGAAACCGGAGCUAAUACCGGAUAACAUAUUGAACCGCAUGGUUCAAUAGUGAAAGGCGGCUUUGCUGUCACUUAUAGAUGGAUCCGCGCCGUAUUAGCUAGUUGGUAAGGUAACGGCUUACCAAGGCAACGAUACGUAGCCGACCUGAGAGGGUGAUCGGCCACACUGGAACUGAGACACGGUCCAGACUCCUACGGGAGGCAGCAGUAGGGAAUCUUCCGCAAUGGGCGAAAGCCUGACGGAGCAACGCCGCGUGAGUGAUGAAGGUCUUCAGAUCGUAAAACUCUGUUAUCAGGGAAGAACAAAUGUGUAAGUAACUGUGCACAUCUUGACGGUACCUGAUCAGAAAGCCACGGCUAACUACGUG